UACGUAGGGAGCGAGCGUUAUCCGGAUUUACUGGGUGUAAAGGGCGUGUAGGCGGGACGGCAAGUCAGAUGUGAAAACUAUGGGCUCAACCCAUAGCCUGCAUUUGAAACUGUUGUUCUUGAGUGCUGGAGAGGCAAAUGGAACUCCUAGUGUAGCGGUGAAAUGCGUAGAUAUUAGGAAGAACACCAGUGGCGAAGGCGAUUUGCUGGACAGUAACUGACGCUGAUGCGCGAAAGUGUGGGGAGCAAAC
Molecule: ribosomal RNA, 250 nt
Filed under: uncultured prokaryote
Description: partial 16S ribosomal RNA
Rfam family: Bacterial small subunit ribosomal RNA
Source: RNAcentral